GUGAUAUAGUCUGAGAAUAAAGAAAAGGUUGUCCCAUUAUUCUUCUUCAUCUUCGUAAAGCGUAGCCGACAUUUAGUUUUAGGGUUCGUCAACUCCUGCUCAAACUGAUUAGGGCUACCAACAGCGGAGUUUCUAAAAAGUUGUGUGAGAUUAAUCUUUUUGAGUAAUCUUUGCAUCUAUCUUGGUUCGUGGCGUUUCGUUUGUGACUCUUCUCCUCAAAGGCGUUACCAGUUGUAUUGAUGCGACGCCAUUUAAGAGAUCAUAACUCUUUCCAUCCGCUGCAAGCACGAUUACUCAUUCAAUGAUUCUUCUCUCUCUAUUGGAUUUCCACUUAUAAAAAGGAAACUGCAAACACGUUUUCCCACGAUUCAACCUUGAGGUUUAAAAAUCAGGUUCAAUUAGCUAUUGUCUGAACAUGUUCAGGAUUACAAUCGACUGCAGAAGUUUACCUCAAAGAUUUGUCUCAGGCACAAGAUUUGCAAUCACCGGAAAGAUCUAAUGAGUCUCUGAUUUUUGUUAGGGAUCAAACCUAUCUCAGUCUUUCGUCCGGCUGCCUUGAAGUUUAUAAGGAACUGAUAUCAAUCUCACUUAUGGAUUCAGACUUCCUACUUCCUUCAAUCAAAGUUCCAGGUUGGAAAGCUUCAGAUUGCGCCUCAAGUCAUGGGAUGAACCUUGGAAGCUGUGGUAUGCUGUUCUCAAAUUGAAAAACAUGGUGAUGACUCAGGGCAAUAUGCUUCAAGCCGAACUGAUGUUUCCAAACCCUGAACGCAUUUGAAAGGGAAUAUACAAACAUGGCCCGAGCUCUUACUUCUAAUUAAUUUGUUGAAUGUUUUUAAGAAAAAUAAAUUAUAUAUUAUUCUUUUAAAGAAAAUGGUUUUGUAUUUCUGGAGACCUAACAAAAGCAUAUAUCCUCUGUACUUUAUUACCAUGGGAGAUACGGGAUUAUUAGUGGUGAA
Molecule: long non-coding RNA, 956 nt
Organism: Brassica oleracea var. oleracea
Lineage: Eukaryota; Viridiplantae; Streptophyta; Magnoliopsida; Brassicales; Brassicaceae
Exons: 4
Source: RefSeq, a predicted model, not a curated record